GAAAACAUGAUCCCAAAAGGAUCUGCAGACUAUAUUCAACAUUGUAUUUCCUAAGAACAUCAUGGGGAUAGGAAAACGCGGGUGAAGGCCACUGGCUACUGUACAGCUGGUCACAAUUCUUUUUCUGUUGUUCAGCAGGGGAUAGUGACACCUGCACACUCCUAUUGUAUUUAUCUUGUAAGGAGAAUACAGAGCUUAUUCAUCUGUUUUGCUCUUAUAGAGGUAAUAUUUUUUUUCCAGACUGUGGCAAACCUACAGAACAGAGACAAUUGUACAAGUUUUCUAACUAUUUUGCACAUUCUCCAGAGCAGCCUUGGUGUGAAAGACAGCACUCAAUAGCAAUUAUAUGGGCUGAGUGAAAAGCUGGCACCACAGGGGUCAGAAGAGAAAGAAACAAAAUCCAUUGACCAUUGUUCUCACAGGAAGGCUGACAUGCAGCCAAAUAUUGGAUGAGAUGUUGGAGACCAUGGAAUCUGGCACACAAAGAAAGGAGAUGGUCCUGGUUUCUUGGGAUAAAGCUUUCAUAUGAAGCUGACUCUUCAGGCUUUCUCUGUAAGAUACCUAAUACAAAACAAAACCAAAAUCAAAUCUCCUACAAUCUUUCUGUGUGUGUGUGUAGCUCUGCAUUAAUUAAUAUUUUCAUUUCUGUUUAUCAGAAAUCCACAUGCAGUGAUUUUAAUGAUAAUUUUCUUUUGAGAAUACUUAGUGUGAGUUGCAUGGUCAGAAAAGUAGAUAAAGUUGCCUUUUAAAACAGAUAUUAAGAUAUCUGAUGAAAUUGCACAUUUGUGUAUUAUAACAAACCAGUGGGCAAGUGAAGACAUAAGAUAACCCAGAUGUUUUGAGGUUGUUUAAAUCUGUCCUUACCUUUACUCAGUGCUGUAGAAAUGUCAGAUAACAGUUUCUCCCAUUACAAGAAGGAAAGAAGUUCAGAGGAGCCAGAGUACUUGUAUUGUUUCUGUCUGGGUAAAAUUCACGUCUGUGGAGUUGAUCGACACAAAAAGACAUUGAGACAUCUGAAGAUGAUCACUGAGGACCUGCUUAAAUCUUUGAGCUUGAUCUCUGAACCCCCAAAUCCCCCAGAUUUAUACAGGCACUGGGGAAGUUCUGUGGUCAGUGCAAUCCUGGGGGCAAAGGAAAACAAUUUCUCCAAGUCCUUGUAAUGUGUUAACCUACUACACUGACUCUCUGGAUUUUAAUGCUGGAUUUCUCAUCUGAAAGAGAGAAUUUGAUCAAUUGAUCUCUACUCUGUCCAACUCUCUCAGACCAUUUGGGUACUGUAUUUCUGCUGUACAGUCCCCGUUCACUUUCUAUAGUCCAUCAGAUCCUACCACUUGGGCUUUUAUUUAUUUGUGGUCUAUCAACAUCAAUGAAGCCUUGACUGCUCCCAUCUUUCUCACAGCUGAUUUUUAGCACAUUUUCCUCACAAAAUUCAUUUAAAUCUCAGAAAUUCUUCUGCAUCCUGCCUCCUCUGACCCCAGAGGUUCUUAAUAGUUUCUUUAGAGAUAAAAUUAUCAAGCCUGUAAUAUGAUCUUAUUCCUCUCUUGCUUAUUUCAUUCAUUGCUUAUCCUUCAUUUCUCCUUUCU
Anser brachyrhynchus (Pink-footed goose) is the source of this 1583-nucleotide long non-coding RNA. The record is from Ensembl. Lineage: Eukaryota; Metazoa; Chordata; Aves; Anseriformes; Anatidae.